RNAcentral lists this transfer RNA (74 nucleotides) under Leersia perrieri. RNAcentral describes it as "tRNA tRNA-Asn". It matches the Rfam family "tRNA". From Rfam's summary of the family: Transfer RNA (tRNA) molecules are approximately 80 nucleotides in length. The record is from Rfam by way of RNAcentral. Lineage: Eukaryota; Viridiplantae; Streptophyta; Magnoliopsida; Poales; Poaceae.
GCUGGAAUAGCUCAGUUGGUUAGAGCUUGAGGCUGUUAACCACAAGGUCGGACGUUCAAGCCCUCCUUCUAGCG